Homarus americanus (American lobster) is the source of this 185-nucleotide long non-coding RNA. RefSeq lists it as uncharacterized. The record is from RefSeq and is a predicted model, not a curated record. The transcript is spliced from 2 exons. NCBI's taxonomy places the organism in Eukaryota, Metazoa, Arthropoda, Malacostraca, Decapoda, Nephropidae.
GUGGAUAUGGCGGCGGCGGCUAUGGUGGUGGUGGAUAUGGUGGCGGUGGCUAUGGCGGUGGUGGAUAUGGUGGCGGAUAUGGAAAAUAAAAUGGACAUCACUAAACGAAGCAACGCAGAAACAAACGCUUCACAAAUUGUAAGAUGCUGUGAUGCCCAAUGUUAAUAAUAAACGUCUUUUACAUG